GUGCUGGAUCUGAGACACUGACGGAAGAGACAUUGUCCAGGAGACUUUGGGACACACCUGUAACAAGACCACAUUUCCUAAUUCUUCCCAAAUAGUUUCACCAACUGGGGACCAAGUAUGCAAACAUAUAUGUCUAUUGAUAUGAGCUCUU
Molecule: long non-coding RNA, 151 nt
Organism: Microtus oregoni (creeping vole)
Lineage: Eukaryota; Metazoa; Chordata; Mammalia; Rodentia; Cricetidae
Exons: 3
Source: RefSeq, a predicted model, not a curated record